Molecule: ribosomal RNA, 253 nt
Filed under: uncultured bacterium
Lineage: Bacteria
Description: partial 16S ribosomal RNA
Rfam family: Bacterial small subunit ribosomal RNA
Source: RNAcentral
UACGUAGGGUGCGAGCGUUAAUCGGAAUUACUGGGCGUAAAGCGUGCGUAGGCGGUUCGUUAAGUCAGCUGUGAAAGCCCCGGGCUCAACCUGGGAACUGCGGUUGAAACUGGCGAACUAGAAUCUGGCAGAGGGGGGUGGAAUUCCACGUGUAGCAGUGAAAUGCGUAGAGAUGUGGAGGAAUACCGAUGGCGAAGGCAGCCCCCUGGGCCAAUACUGACGCUCAUGCACGAAAGCGUAGGGAGCAAACAGG